GGCACCGUCGCUGACGUGUGCACGACACACCGGUAAGUCCGACGCGCCCCCGUGGCGCGGCCUUCCAGGCUUGGGAUUAC
Molecule: non-coding RNA, 80 nt
Filed under: unclassified sequences
Description: S15-Methanomicrobia ribosomal protein leader
Rfam family: S15-Methanomicrobia ribosomal protein leader
Source: RNAcentral